RNAcentral lists this ribosomal RNA (433 nucleotides) under Aeromonas sp. R-17629. RNAcentral's name for it is "bacterial SSU rRNA". It matches the Rfam family "Bacterial small subunit ribosomal RNA", at positions 30 to 455 of the family's 1533-position model. Lineage: Bacteria; Pseudomonadati; Pseudomonadota; Gammaproteobacteria; Aeromonadales; Aeromonadaceae. The record is from RNAcentral. RNAcentral also lists the same sequence under 4 other names.
AUUGAACGCUGGCGGCAGGCCUAACACAUGCAAGUCGAGCGGCAGCGGGAAAGUAGCUUGCUACUUUUGCCGGCGAGCGGCGGACGGGUGAGUAAUGCCUGGGAAAUUGCCCAGUCGAGGGGGAUAACAGUUGGAAACGACUGCUAAUACCGCAUACGCCCUACGGGGGAAAGCAGGGGACCUUCGGGCCUUGCGCGAUUGGAUAUGCCCAGGUGGGAUUAGCUUGUUGGUGAGGUAAUGGCUCACCAAGGCGACGAUCCCUAGCUGGUCUGAGAGGAUGAUCAGCCACACUGGAACUGAGACACGGUCCAGACUCCUACGGGAGGCAGCAGUGGGGAAUAUUGCACAAUGGGGGAAACCCUGAUGCAGCCAUGCCGCGUGUGUGAAGAAGGCCUUCGGGUUGUAAAGCACUUUCAGCGAGGAGGAAAGGUUG